This is a non-coding RNA of Anas platyrhynchos (mallard), 1030 nucleotides long. NCBI's taxonomy places the organism in Eukaryota, Metazoa, Chordata, Aves, Anseriformes, Anatidae. The record is from RefSeq and is a predicted model, not a curated record.
GAGGGGGACUGUCAGGGAAGGCCAGGCAUGGGGGUGCCUCAAUUUGUGGAAGAUGUUUGGGCCAUCUGGUGUUUGAGUGAAAGACUGGAAGAAACAUUCUGCUAUUUAAAGGACCAUAGAGUUAUUCUUUAAAGGUUUCAGAUGGCAGACUGCAACUGCAUAGUGUGGGCAUUCUUUUGGCUCAUUGUGCUGGUGUUUCUUGGCUGGCCCUUAAGCAUAAUCAUGUGUGCCCUUCAUGGAUUCCUUUCUCCUUUGGCUACUUUAAUAGGACUAGAUGAAUUAAGUGACGCGUUGCUGAAGGGUGCGUGUUUGGGGAGGCAGUGUGCUCAGAAUGUGCGCAAUGGCAAGUCCCCGUGUUAAGCAAUGAGGACAGUCCUGCAUCAGACAAGCACUCAACUGUAUACAACAGAAUUUCAUUGUUUACACUAUUAGUCUCAUAUUUUUUUUUUAACUCUAAAUAUUUUUCUUUGUAUUUCAGUGUGUACAUUUCUCUUUACAGUGUCUAGAAACCUUAACACUUCAAAGGCUUGUCUCUGAGAAUACAAAAUAAAAGUUGCAGCUAUUGUAUUCAAAUUGGGUACAAUUUCAAAACUGAUGCUGUGUACAUGGAGAAGGUAGCUAAGUGCUUAUCUCAGGAUUUGAGCUUAAUGUCAAAAUCUAGUUAAGUGGUUGAAAAUACUGCCUAAGAGAUGGAAUGCACCUAAUAGGUGGGACUAAGACACAUGAGAAGAAUAGAUGCUGAAUUGGAAAUUUAUUUUUGUGAAUAUUUUGAUCUCCAGUGUACAAUGCUCAGUAGUAAGAGAAAUAAAAUUCUGAUCUGAUAGUGUGCAUGUUUUCAUAUAAAUGUUUCAGUGCCUUCUUAGUUUAUUUCCUUUGCAAUAGACUUUAGAAAUAUUUUGUAUUAUGAUGUUGUCUUGUGUUAAUUUCUUGUGAACAACAGCUUUUCAGUGGAACAACAUUACUGAUGGGGGGGCUCUAUGCACUGAUUUCAAGUAUAUUAAAUAAAUAAAGAAUUUCUGUAAACACUUUC